GCGGUGAAGGUCGAUCGUAAGGGCGACUGGAGCGGACAGAAGUGAGAAUGCAGGCAUGAGUAGCGUACAAACACGUGAGAACCGUGUUCGCCGUAAGUCUAAGGUUUCCGACGCCAGGUCAUUCCGCGUCGGGUUAGUCGAGUCCUUAGCCGAGGCCGAGAGGCGUAGGUGAUGGACAUCCGGUCAACAUUCCGGAACCACUUGGGAGUGCGAUGGGAGGACGCAACGAGGUAGGCCAGCCCAUUAUUGGAUUUGGGUUCGAUCCAUCUAGGCGUUGAGAUUGGUAGGUAAAUCCGCCAGUUGAGCUGAGGUGGGAGCGGGGCCGUAAGGCGAAGUGGCUGAGCCUUGUUGCCAAGAAAAGUCUCUAAGCAUAACUCUCUAGUGCUCGUACCGCAAACCGACACU
RNAcentral lists this ribosomal RNA (405 nucleotides) under uncultured bacterium. Its description in RNAcentral is "bacterial LSU rRNA". It matches the Rfam family "Bacterial large subunit ribosomal RNA", at positions 1247 to 1661 of the family's 2925-position model. The record is from RNAcentral.